ACUCCAAUAGCUCAGUUGGUAGAGCAUGAGACUAUUAAUCUCAGGGUCAUGGGUUUGAGCCCCAUGUUGGGCA
Molecule: non-coding RNA, 73 nt
Organism: Podarcis lilfordi (Lilford's wall lizard)
Lineage: Eukaryota; Metazoa; Chordata; Lepidosauria; Squamata; Lacertidae
Source: the annotation of a GenBank genome assembly